CACCACAACGGGUGGAGCUUGCGGUUUAAUUGGAUUCAACGCCGGAAUCUUACCGGGACCGACAGCAAUAUGAAGGCCAGGCUGAAGACUUUGCCGGAUUAGCUGAGAGGUGGUGCAUGGCCGUCGUCAGUUCGUACUGUGAAGCAUCCUGUUAAGUCAGGCAACGAGCGAGACCCACGCCAACAGUUGCCAGCUCGUCCUCCGGGAUGGUGGGGACACUGUUGGGACCGCCUCUGCUAAAGAGGAGGAAGGAAUGGGCAACGGUAGGUCAGCAUGCCCCGAAUUAUCUGGGCUACACGCGGGCUACAAUGGGUGGGACAAUGGGUAUCGACACCGAAAGGUGAAGGCAAUCUCCUAAACCCAUCCGUAGUUCGGAUUGUGGGCUGCAACUCGCCCACAUGAAGCUGGAAUCUGUAGUAAUCGUGUCUCAAAAUGGCACGGUGAAUAUGUCCCUGCUCCUU
Molecule: ribosomal RNA, 461 nt
Filed under: uncultured Methanomicrobiales archaeon
Lineage: Archaea; Methanobacteriati; Methanobacteriota; Methanomicrobia; Methanomicrobiales
Description: bacterial SSU rRNA
Rfam family: Archaeal small subunit ribosomal RNA
Source: RNAcentral